Molecule: long non-coding RNA, 1326 nt
Filed under: Canis lupus familiaris (dog)
Lineage: Eukaryota; Metazoa; Chordata; Mammalia; Carnivora; Canidae
Description: lncRNA (ENSCAFG00000055666.1)
Source: RNAcentral
AUGGUUGGUGGCCCUGUGCAGAGCCCUGGCCCCGGGACAGGGGGAUCCAGAGAGGAGGGUCCACAGGACUUGAAGGUCUGGGGCCGGCGUGAGCCCAAGGUGACCCCUGGUGGAGAUGACCCUCUGGUGGGCAGUGGGGCCCUUUACAGAGGGGACAAGAGGAGGGGUAGGAAUGGGCCAGGAUCACUGCAAACAGGGACAAUUCUGGGAGGUGUCUGGUUGCUGAAAGUGAGGCUGGGCCCAGGCUGGAGGCCCCGAGGAAGAAAGGUCAGGAGGGGCGGGCUGGACGAGCCAGUGGCAAAUGCCAGGGCAGGUGGGGCAGCAACCACAAGGAGCUUUGCCUCGAGCUGGUGUCCCCAGGAAAAGCAGCCAGGGGCGACAGGAACGCGGACAGCGCUGGGGCGGGGGCGUCCAGCCAGGCUCGGGAGCGCGGCGCGGGCCGAGGGGGUCCGUGUGCGGGGCGGGGCGGGGGGGGCUCUUCGGGGGUCCGGUCGCGGAGCCCUCGGUCCCACGCGGUGGCAGGUCCCCGACCCUCCGACCUCCGAACCCGGCUGGGCCCCCGCGCCCCGCGCCCCGCCGGGUCGCUCCCGGGGUGUGUCCCCGCGGGCUGGGCGCCGAGGCCACCCCAGGCUCCCGCCGAGCAGGGUUCGAGCCUCGCUGCGCGCGGUGGCCUCCGCGGGGCGGCCCGGGCCCGCGACUUCCUCGCGCUCCCCUCGCGCCCCCCUCGCGCCCGGGCGCAGCCGGGUCUCGUUACCGCCCCGCCCCGCCCCCCCCGCGCCCCGGGGGGUCUCUGCGGCCGGGGGAGGGGCGCCUCCUAAUCAAUCCCAGGCCGGAAAUUCCUCCCGAGGGGCCCGGCCGGGCUGCGGGGCCGGGGCCGGGGCGGGGGCGGGGGCGGGGGCGGGGGCGGGCUCGGAGCCUGGCGGGCCGCCCGGCCGCCCCUCCUCCUCCCGAGCCCGCCCCCCGCAUCAUGGAAACUGGGCCGCCGGCCGACCCCCUCGCUCCGCUCCGCAUUCCUGCCGCGGGGGCGGGCGGGGCUCGGGAGCUGGGCGGCCCCGACAGGCCCGCGGCGGGGGCGCCCCGGAGCCUCGCGAUUGGGGGCCGCGGCGCCUCCCCGCUCCGGACGGGGCGCGUCUUCCCGGGGGGUUGCCCGUGACUCUCCGGUGGACGCGCUCAGCGGCCCGCCCCCGCCCCCGCCCCGGGCUCCUGUCACUGGGCGCUCGCGGGGUCCCCGGGGGCUGCCCCCGUGUCGCGUGCCCGCCCGCAACGCUGAUUCUCGCCUCUCCGCGUCUUGCGGGGCGGACCCCACUAAGCCCAUUUUCCAGGUGA